UUAUUUGAGAGUUUGAUCCUGGCUCAGGAUGAACGCUGGCGGCGUGCCUAACACAUGCAAGUUGAGCGAUUUACUUCGGUAAAGAGCGGCGGACGGGUGAGUAACGCGUGGGUAACCUACCCUGUACACACGGAUAACAUACCGAAAGGUAUGCUAAUACGGGAUAAUAUAUUUGAGAGGCAUCUCUUGAAUAUCAAAGGUGAGCCAGUACAGGAUGGACCCGCGUCUGAUUAGCUAGUUGGUAAGGUAACGGCUUACCAAGGCGACGAUCAGUAGCCGACCUGAGAGGGUGAUCGGCCACAUUGGAACUGAG
RNAcentral lists this ribosomal RNA (313 nucleotides) under Clostridioides difficile. Its description in RNAcentral is "bacterial SSU rRNA". It matches the Rfam family "Bacterial small subunit ribosomal RNA", at positions 1 to 323 of the family's 1533-position model. Lineage: Bacteria; Bacillati; Bacillota; Clostridia; Peptostreptococcales; Peptostreptococcaceae. The record is from RNAcentral.